This is a long non-coding RNA of Manduca sexta (tobacco hornworm), 764 nucleotides long. RefSeq lists it as uncharacterized. The record is from RefSeq and is a predicted model, not a curated record. The transcript is spliced from 2 exons. NCBI's taxonomy places the organism in Eukaryota, Metazoa, Arthropoda, Insecta, Lepidoptera, Sphingidae.
AACCUUAUGUGGUGGGUGUGAGGUCGAAUUUGUGUUUAGUCCAUCAAUACUUAUGAUUUUCUGUUUCAUGUUUUGUUUGAAUUUAUCGACGACGCUAAUUUUUGUUAUCACAUUUGCAAGGAGUUUAGUUCAGCCUUUAGGAUUCGAUACAAGACAACAUAAUGGUGGUCUCGGUAUAUGUACACCUUUGAUGUACAACAUUAGGAAUGGAAGUUCCAUACACAAUAUAGGAAUUAUUAUUUAUUAGAUUACUCACGCCUUUACAUUAGCAUACUAUCUCAUGACAAUUUUCUUUCCAGGCUUGAAUUAUCAGCAAUGACAAAAAAGCCUAUUAAUUGGUUUCAAAAAUAAAUACUGUUUCACAAUAGGACAAUAUUAUGAAUUGAAAAGAAUAGAUUUAAACAGACCUAGUUGCUGUAAAAAAAUUACAGAGCCGUUUACGGCAAUGGAAUCUAAAAUAAAAAUUUCAAGAGUGAAGAAAUGCAUAGUCUCCAUUAUUUAAAUUUUAUUAGAGAUGGAGAUUCUUCUGUGUUUGCUAAUGUGAAAGAAAAAGUACAACAUGGGAACUAAAUAAAAAAAUUGACACCAGUGCACAAGAUUUUAGCUAAUACAAAGCUUCCACACUAUGGAUGAAAUAUUUUGAAACCAAGGUUACUGAAGAACUACUGUGCAAUAAAUUAUUGUACGUAGAGCAAUGGUCAGCCUAGUUCCAUGGCUGAUGAUUUUCAGAUUCGGCCACCGCAUGUAUUUGGAAACUAUGAGAA